RNAcentral lists this ribosomal RNA (482 nucleotides) under uncultured bacterium. Its description in RNAcentral is "partial 16S ribosomal RNA". It matches the Rfam family "Bacterial small subunit ribosomal RNA", at positions 30 to 507 of the family's 1533-position model. The record is from RNAcentral.
AUUGAACGCUGGCGGCAUGCCUUACACAUGCAAGUCGAACGGUAACGGGCCUUCGGGUGCCGACGAGUGGCGAACGGGUGAGUAAUACAUCGGAACGUGCCAGAUCGUGGGGGAUAACGAGGCGAAAGCUUUGCUAAUACCGCAUACGAUCUACGGAUGAAAGCAGGGGACCGCAAGGCCUUGCGCGGACGGAGCGGCCGAUGGCAGAUUAGGUAGUUGGUGGGAUAAAAGCUUACCAAGCCGACGAUCUGUAGCUGGUCUGAGAGGAUGAUCAGCCACACUGGGACUGAGACACGGCCCAGACUCCUACGGGAGGCAGCAGUGGGGAAUUUUGGACAAUGGGCGCAAGCCUGAUCCAGCCAUGCCGCGUGCAGGAUGAAGGCCUUCGGGUUGUAAACUGCUUUUGUACGGAACGAAAAGCCUUCUUUUAAUACAGGAGGGUCAUGACGGUACCGUAAGAAUAAGCACCGGCUAACUACGUG